GCGAGAUUAGUUUAGUGGUAGAAUGAGUGCUUCCCAAGCACUAGGCAGGGGUUCGAUUCUCCUAUCUCGCA
RNAcentral lists this transfer RNA (71 nucleotides) under Nanobdellota archaeon. Its description in RNAcentral is "tRNA-Gly". It matches the Rfam family "tRNA". Rfam says of the family: Transfer RNA (tRNA) molecules are approximately 80 nucleotides in length. Their secondary structure includes four short double-helical elements and three loops (D, anti-codon, and T loops). Lineage: Archaea; Nanobdellati; Nanobdellota. The record is from RNAcentral.